CAGUCCGUGGAAACAAUCAAGUCUCUCUUAUUUUAGCUGUGCUGAGCAGAGAACAUUUCUGGGUCAGGGAUGGGGACCCAGCGUAUUUCCCAACAGCUGGAGGAGCAGGCCAAGACAAAGAUAUGCAAACCACUAAUGAGCUCAUAACAGCAAACAGAAAAGAGGAAGAUCAGAGUGAAGCAGCUUGAAGCUGAGGGCCAGAUUUUCUCAGUUCUGAAGUUGAAAAGCCACAUUCACAAAAUACCUGACAGUGCUGUGAAUGUCAAUAGGACUGCAGUGGGCUAUCAGAAGUGUUGCACUGCUCCUUCUUCAAAUUGGUACCAGCAAGAGGUCUACACUGAAGCCGUUAUGUAGUGAGGAAUAUCUGAGAGCAGAAGUCCUGUGA
This 385-nucleotide long non-coding RNA is filed under the name Phasianus colchicus (ring-necked pheasant). RNAcentral describes it as "lncRNA (ENSPCLG00000010812.1)". Lineage: Eukaryota; Metazoa; Chordata; Aves; Galliformes; Phasianidae. The record is from RNAcentral.